Non-coding RNA from Microcebus murinus (gray mouse lemur), 2662 nucleotides. The record is from RefSeq and is a predicted model, not a curated record. Lineage: Eukaryota; Metazoa; Chordata; Mammalia; Primates; Cheirogaleidae.
UAAAAUAUAACAUUUUUAUAGAAAACAUCAAGUAAUUAAAUCUCAAAUAAAAGAAAAUAUACUCAUUUUUCAUGUCUCCACUAAAAUCAACUAUAUUACUAUUUGUUUCCUCAUCCCUUAUCACAGCUGGUGACCCAAUUUCAAAAUAUUUUACAAAAACAUUUAAAAUUAACCUCAAAUUUUAAUGGUAAACAUAAUAAGUAUGUAUCACAAAUAAUUUAGUUAUAUAUAUUAGGAAUACUUAUGUUUUAGACCACACAACCACUCAAAUAUUUCUUAAAAUAUCAAAUAAGCUUACUGUUAUUCUGCUUUGACAAAUGUUUCUUAGAAACAGAAGGAAACACCCAGAAAAGAAAAGCACAUUACUUGUGACCUAGACUUGGUGCUAGAUAUGAGAUCCUGUAUAAUUUUAAUAACAAAGAAGAUCAUCAUCAGUUUUCUUCCCUAGAACAAACAAAUAAACAUCUAACCACAAAAAAAUACUGAAGAAGAGGCAAUUCUCCUAUGGGAAGCUGUGCACAGCUAAGGAUUAAACCUCCAAUAUCUGAGCACAACAGGGGGGCCAUCUUAAUGUUAACCUUCUAUGAUUAUUUUUCCUGCAUUCUGGAGGCUAAAUUCCUAACUGAAUUGGCAUGCUCUUUGAUAUUUGUUUCACAAUUUCAACAUUCUUUUUAAAGUAAUUUUCUUUAUGCCCAGUGGUAGCACUUCUAUAUGAUAAGAAUGAAUUUUGGUAUUAGUUUUACUGAGAGUUUGAGAAAUUGUCAUUUUAUCAUGCUGUUGCAUAGCAAAUGUGUGCAUUUCCCGUUAGUUUCUACAAACACUUUUUCCUUUAGUUUUGAUGAUAAAGUGGUUUUAUCACUUUUUAGAAAGUUUUUAUUUAUGUAAAGUAAAAAAAAAAAACAAAUUUGGGGAAAGACUUUACAUUCUCUAGCAUUUGAGCACAAUUUACAUUUUCUACUCACUUCAGGGACUUUAGCAGAAAUAGCUGCCCCGAGAAAUAAAUGUUAUCUGAUAUAUCUCAAAGGGCCAACAUUUUAAGGUACCAAAAUUAUGCACAUUUAUUUCAGUGAUGCUUAUCAAGGACUUUUGUGAUUUUCAUCAAUGAAGUAAAAGGAAAUUCAAAUGUAGAGUUUUGGUUUGGAGUUGAAACACUGAGGACAGAAGUAGAAUGAUAACAAAAUUCAAGGUCAUAGGUUAUGAGUAUCUAAAAUCAAAGAUAAUCCUCUGAAAUUACUUAUCUAGUAUUGGAAUACUAACUAUGUCACCCCAGAAGUAUAAUCAUUGUGAUGCUGACAAAAGACACCAUAUUGCUGGAAGGUGGCCAGAGAUGUUGAGCUGUUUAUUGUCUCACUGAUUUAAUAAUUCAUUCUUCCAAGUGUCAGGUGCAGUGCUAGACUCUAAGACUGCAAAGAUGCUACAGCAUAAGGCAUCUUCUCAGGAAGAUGUUAAUAUAUUAUAUGCCCCAAAUAAGCAAGUAUACAAUUGCAAUAUGAUUUGACAACUACUAUAAUUAAGAAAUGUACAGAAGAUGAAUACUUCAGUCCAAUAAAGUUAUAUUGAGGAGAUUUUUUUGGUGAUCAAAAAAGACUUUCCUAAGGAGGUAAUGGUAAACUGUGUUGAAUUCUUUAGACCAGGAACAGUCAGUACAGUCACAGAGGAGAAAACUAGAAUGACAUGUUUUAGAGAUCUACUUGUAGUUCAACUUCAUAAGGACAAAAAGGCAAAGAAUGGAAGAGGGAACGUGACUCUGGAGCCAUGCCUGCAGGAAACUGCUUUAGAGAGUCAAGCAGCAAGGCACCAGGCAUGGAAACUAACACUCCAAAGUGAAGGCAGUUGCUUAUAGUCUAUCAUCAUUGAAGAAGCAGUAAAAAUGGGAUAAAAAUCUAAGCCCUAUCACCCCCAUCAUGGAGACCUUCAAAACAGCACAGUUCCUAUGGUGAGUUUCUGCAGUAAACUGUCCUCACUUUUUGUUACUUUGUAAACCAUGCUCCAAAUGUCCCACAACAUCAUAAAGAAAGUUACAUUCUUUUGUUGCAUGAGAAAUUACUGUGAAGUCUUUUUUCAAAAACAGGGGAGUCUGUUAUAUAGACUUCUUUCCCUUGUGGGUAUGAGGUACAGAACUGGAACUUACUAGACAAAGCAAUAGGUACAUUAGAGACAGAGCUGUGUAUUCACACACUACUUAGAAACCACAUGUCCUCGCAUGCAGACAUAAUGGAUAUUUACCAUUAUCAUAUUCUUUAAUCUGGCUAUGGAAAAAAUAAAAUAAAAUUUUCUUUUGUAACACUUUCUGAUAAUCAACAUGUGCCCUGAUUCUGGAUGACUGAUACAAAGUGUUAUUUGAUCUAACUGAAAAUCUCAUUAUAGUGAAUCAGAUAUGUUCUCAAUUUCAGUAAGCUACCUGCUUCAUUACCAUCCAAUAUGAGUAAUUUUCACAGGUUAAUUGUGCCUAUGUUUAUGCAAAAUAUUUGAUUUUAUCUUUACUUACUGACACAAUUUUACUGAGCACUUUCCUAUUCUGGCAUAAUGGAGGAAGAGUAGUUUUUUACUCUUUUUUCUUUAUUAUGGUCUACAGCUGAUUUUUAUCUUGUUAGUUGGUUUUCAAAAAUUAGAUUACAUUUGAAAUCUACUCCAGCAUGGAAAGUAUUCAUGCUGGAUAAUC